RNAcentral lists this ribosomal RNA (394 nucleotides) under uncultured bacterium. Its description in RNAcentral is "bacterial SSU rRNA". It matches the Rfam family "Bacterial small subunit ribosomal RNA", at positions 413 to 796 of the family's 1533-position model. The record is from RNAcentral.
GGCCUUCGGGUUGUAAACUUGCUUUUGUACGGAACGAAAAGGCCCUGGUGAACAACCGGGGUUGCUUGACGGUACCGUAAGAAUAAGCACCGGCUAACUACGUGCCAGCAGCCGCGGUAAUACGUAGGGUGCGAGCGUUAAUCGGAAUUACUGGGCGUAAAGCGUGCGCAGGCGGACAUGCAAGACAGAUGUGAAAUCCCCGGGCUCAACCUGGGAACUGCAUAUGUGACUGUAUGACUGGAGUACGGCAGAGGGGGAUGGAAUUCCGCGUGUAGCAGUGAAAUGCGUAGAUAUGCGGGAGGAACACCGAUGGCGAAGGCAAUCCCCUGGGCCAGUACUGACGCUCAUGCACGAAAGCGUGGGGAGCAAACAGGAUUAGAUACCCUGGUAGUCC